UCAGGCCUAACACAUGCAAGUCGAACGCAGUAGCAAUACUGAGUGGCAAACGGGUGAGUAUAAUGUGGGAAUCUGCCUUUUGGUUUGGAAUAACACGGGGAAACUUGUGCUAAUACCGAAUAAGCCUUUACGGGGAAAGUUUUAACGCCGAAAGAUGAGCCUGCACUUGAUUAGCUAGUUGGUAAGGUAAAAGCUUACCAAGGCAACGAUCAAUAGCUGUUCUUAGAGGAAGACCAGCCACAUUGGGACUGAGACACGGCCCAGACUCCUACGGGAGGCAGCAGUGGGGAAUCUUGCACAAUGGGGGAAACCCUGAUGCAGCGAUGCCGCGUGAGUGAAGAAGGCCCUUGGGUUGUAAAACUCUUUCGUCGGGGAAGAAAAUGACUGUACCCGAAUAAGAAGGUCCGGCUAACUUCGUGCCAGCAGCCGCGGUAAUACGAAGGGACCUAGCGUAGUUCGGAAUUACUGGGCUUAAAGAGCUCGUAGGUGGUUAAAAAAGUUGAUGGUGAAAUCCCAAGGCUCAACCUUGGAACUGCCAUCAAAACUUUUUAGCUAGAGUGUGAUAGAGGUAAGUGGAAUUUCUAGUGUAGAGGUGAAAUUCGUAGAUAUUAGAAAGAACACCAAAUGCGAAGGCAACUUACUGGGUCACUACUGACACUGAGGAGCGAAAGCAUGGGUAGCGAAGAGGAUUAGAUACCCU
This 700-nucleotide ribosomal RNA is filed under the name uncultured bacterium. RNAcentral describes it as "bacterial SSU rRNA". It matches the Rfam family "Bacterial small subunit ribosomal RNA", at positions 42 to 788 of the family's 1533-position model. The record is from RNAcentral.